CAUGCAAGUCGAGCGGGGAAUAUUGAGCAGCUUGCUGCUUGGUAUUUCUAGCGGCGGACGGGUGAGUAACGCGUGAGCAACCUGCCUUUAUCAGGGGGAUAACGCAUCGAAAGAUGUGCUAAUACCGCGUAAGACCACAGCUUCACAUGGAGCAGAGGUCAAAGGAGCAAUCCGGAUAAAGAUGGGCUCGCGUCCGAUUAGCUAGUUGGUGAGAUAACAGCCCACCAAGGCGACGAUCGGUAGCCGACCUGAGAGGGUGAUCGGCCACAUUGGAACUGAGAUACGGUCCAGACUCCUACGGGAGGCAGCAGUGGGGAAUAUUGGGCAAUGGGCGAAAGCCUGACCCAGCAACGCCGCGUGAGGGGAGAAGGGUUUCGGCUCGUAAACCUCUGUCCUAUGGGACGAAGGAAGUGACGGAACCAUAGGAGGAAGCCCCGGCUAACUACGUGCCAGCAGCCGCGGUAAUACGUAGGGGGCGAGCGUUGUCCGGAAUGAUUGGGCGUAAAGGGCGCGUAGGCGGCCUGCUAAGUCUGGAGUGAAAGUCCUGCUUUCAAGGUGGGAAUUGCUUUGGAUACUGGUGGGCUGGAGUGCAGGAGAGGAAAGCGGAAUUACCGGUGUAGCGGUGAAAUGCGUAGAGAUCGGUAGGAACACCAGUGGCGAAGGCGGCUUUCUGGACUGAAACUGACGCUGAGGCGCGAAAGCGUGGGGAGCAAACAGGAUUAGAUACCCUGGUAGUCCACGCGGUAAACGAUGAAUGCUAGGUGUAGGAGGUAUCGACCCCUUCUGUGCCGCAGUAAACACAAUAAGCAUUCCGCCUGGGG
This 821-nucleotide ribosomal RNA is filed under the name uncultured bacterium. RNAcentral describes it as "bacterial SSU rRNA". It matches the Rfam family "Bacterial small subunit ribosomal RNA", at positions 54 to 878 of the family's 1533-position model. The record is from RNAcentral.